UGGAGCUUUAAACCCAACAGCACCCGUUUAUUUUCAUCCUCACAUAAGUUAGGUUAUGCCUGUUUGGUUUUAGGUUGGGGUGACCACGGAGUAUAAAACAACCUCCAUGAAAAAAGGACCAAAAAUCCUUAUUAGAGAAAGACAUUUCUAAAAUUAAUAAAUUAAUUUUUAAUGAUCCGAUAUUCGAUCAACGAACCAAGUUACCCUGGGGAUAACAGCGCAAUCCACUUCAAGAGCUCCUAUCGACAAGUGGGUUUACGACCUCGAUGUUGGAUCAGGGUAUCCUAGUGGUGCAGCAGCUACUAACGGUUCGUUUGUUCAACGAUUAAAACCCU
RNAcentral lists this ribosomal RNA (335 nucleotides) under Boophis elenae. RNAcentral describes it as "partial 16S ribosomal RNA". It matches the Rfam family "Bacterial large subunit ribosomal RNA", at positions 2094 to 2597 of the family's 2925-position model. Lineage: Eukaryota; Metazoa; Chordata; Amphibia; Anura; Mantellidae. The record is from RNAcentral.